UCCCUACACAUCAAUAAUUGUUAAAUAAAAGUUUUUUAGAAUUUAGUCUUUGUGAAUGCCUUUAAGUUGUAUAACGGUUUAAAAUGAGUUACGGCAAAGUUAAUUGUGCUACAAUGAACUUGUUUCAUGAACCGUAAAUUAGCACGAAAGGUAAAGAAGUCCAUCUGGCCGAACGAGGAGAGAAAAACCACGCCCUCAAAAAAAAGAGAGAGAAAAAACAGUCACACAAAAGAGCAUAGCGCAAAUGAUGCAUACUGCAUAGUCAGUUGAUCAAAGAGAACCUGAUUGAACCAUUCUUACACUUUGCUCCAUUAUCCAUGUCCAUAAAAUUCUCAAUCUAUGUCUUCCCCUCUUGAGUCCAUCCAUUUCUUUGAUCAGAUCCAUUGCGUAACAUAUCUUCAUACGGAUUACUGUCUUAGUUUGUCAUUGUAUAAUAAUAAUAUUUUCUGCUACAAGUUUGCUCAAAAUAUAAAAAAAAUUGAUGGUGAACAAAAGUUAUACGCCUCAUGAUUUAAAAUUGAAGGGAGC
This 528-nucleotide long non-coding RNA is filed under the name Brachypodium distachyon (stiff brome). RNAcentral's name for it is "long non-coding RNA (BDIS_LNC005004)". The record is from RNAcentral. Lineage: Eukaryota; Viridiplantae; Streptophyta; Magnoliopsida; Poales; Poaceae.